GGGCUUCCGGGUGUAGGGUUCUAGCGAGCCCAACCUCCCACCCGUGUUUACUGUACCUUAGUUGCUUCGGCGGGCCCGCCAUUCAUGGCCGCCGGGGGCUCUCAGCCCCGGGCCCGCGCCCGCCGGAGACACCACGAACUCUGUCUGAUCUAGUGAAGUCUGAGUUGAUUGUAUCGCAAUCAGUUAAAACUUUCAACAAUGGAUCUCUUGGUUCCGGCAUCGAUGAAGAACGCAGCGAAAUGCGAUAACUAGUGUGAAUUGCAGAAUUCCGUGAAUCAUCGAGUCUUUGAACGCACAUUGCGCCCCCUGGUAUUCCGGGGGGCAUGCCUGUCCGAGCGUCAUUGCUGCCCAUCAAGCACGGCUUGUGUGUUGGGUCGUCGUCCCCUCUCCGGGGGGGACGGGCCCCAAAGGCAGCGGCGGCACCGCGUCCGAUCCUCGAGCGUAUGGGGCUUUGUCACCCGCUCUGUAGGCCCGGCCGGCGCUUGCCGAACGCAAAUCAAUCUUUUUCCAGGUUGACCUCGGAUCAGGUAGGGAUACCCGCUGAACUUAAGCAUAUCAAUAAGGCGGAGGGGAAAUA
RNAcentral lists this ribosomal RNA (577 nucleotides) under Aspergillus flavus. RNAcentral's name for it is "eukaryotic LSU rRNA". The stretch from base 188 to 341 matches the Rfam family "5.8S ribosomal RNA". The record is from RNAcentral. Lineage: Eukaryota; Fungi; Ascomycota; Eurotiomycetes; Eurotiales; Aspergillaceae.